Molecule: small RNA, 591 nt
Filed under: Pan troglodytes (chimpanzee)
Lineage: Eukaryota; Metazoa; Chordata; Mammalia; Primates; Hominidae
Description: processed transcript
Source: RNAcentral
AAUUUUCCUUCUCCUUUUACCAACAUUUUGUGCGGAAUUAUUUUUGUGGAAAGAAGAUACACAGCAGUUGUCUUAAACAGAUUGAUAAAGGAAGCUGGCAAACAAGAUCCAGAGCUGGCUUAUAUCAGUAGCAAUUUUAUAACUGGACAUGGCAUUGGGAAGAAUCAGCCUCGCAACAAACAGAUGGAAGCAGAAUUCAGAAAACAGGAAGAGAAUAUCGAUCCUAUGUUCAAUCUAAAGGAAGAGCAAGGGCACCCAUCUCUAAUUAUAUAAUGUUAGCGGAUACAGACAAAAUAAAAAGUUUUGAAGAAGACCUUAAAACCUACAAAGCUAUUGAAAAGAUCUUGAGAAACAAGUGUUCCAAGUCGGUUGAUACUGGUGAGAUUGACAUUGAUCCUGUCAUGGAUGAUGAUGACGUUUUCCCACCAUAUGUGUUGAGGCCUGACGAUGGUGGUCCACGAGUCACAAUCAACACGGCCAUUGGACACAUCAAUAGAUACUGUGCUAGAUUACCAAGUGAUCCGUUUACUCAUCUAGCUCCUAAAUGCAGAACCCGAGAGUUGCCUGAUGGUACAUUUUAUUCAACUCUUU